UACGUAGGGUGCAGGCGUUAAUCGGAAUUACUGGGCGUAAAGCGUGCGCAGGCGGUUUCUUAAGUCAGAUGUGAAAGCCCCGGGCUUAACCUGGGAACUGCGUUUGAAACUGGGAGACUCGAGUGUGGCAGAGGGGGGUGGAAUUCCACGUGUAGCGGUGAAAUGCGUAGAUAUCUGGAGGAAUACCGGUGGCGAAGGCGGCAUCCUGGACCGACAUUGACGCUGAUGAGCGAAAGCUAGGGGAGCAAACGGG
RNAcentral lists this ribosomal RNA (253 nucleotides) under uncultured bacterium. Its description in RNAcentral is "partial 16S ribosomal RNA". It matches the Rfam family "Bacterial small subunit ribosomal RNA", at positions 524 to 776 of the family's 1533-position model. The record is from RNAcentral.